Molecule: non-coding RNA, 831 nt
Organism: Nothobranchius furzeri (turquoise killifish)
Lineage: Eukaryota; Metazoa; Chordata; Actinopteri; Cyprinodontiformes; Nothobranchiidae
Source: RefSeq, a predicted model, not a curated record
CUCUACCAUAUCAGGAGUCUGUGGUGGUGGAUGCUCUAUCAUAUCAGGAGUCUGACUAAGUACCUGUGCCUGAACCUCUCUGUGUCUAGUUCAAAAGACCUGAAAGACCUGCUGUAAGCAGGCACAGGUUAAGAUUUUAAAAGAACCUGUAAGGUGAGCAACACAACACAAUAUAAAUCUUUAUUAUUAUUGUACGCUGUACAGUUAGAAUAAACUUGCAUGCUCAGAAGCCACGUAUGAUUACAUCGCCUACAGGUUGCCUGAUGCUGAACUUCGGGCAGCUGCGUGCUCCGUGGAACAACCGCCUGUGGGAGGAGUCGUUGUGUUGCUGUUAGGAGUUUGGGUCGGAGUCCUGGAUCUAUGGGAAUUCUUUCCUUGAAGCUCCUGAUCACACAACCAUACUGGCAGUCGGCUUACCCACUACCUUCUGCUCACCCGCUUGCAACUCAUGCUGUCAUUCUCCCAGACUUCUGGUUGUUUCUCCACCAUUCUGCUGUCUCCCGUCUGCGCUACAACUUCAGACCGGCCUUCUGAUCUUUAAACACUAAAACCUGUGGCUCCAUCUCUGUGGCGUUUCUCAGAAUCUGUAAGCUACCUGCACAGUCUAAGAAAAACCUGACCUGUUGCCUCUUACUAACCUCUGCUCUUCCUCGCAGAAGCUUCUGGUUCCUGAUCUCCAGCUGUUACCUCUUCAGUCAUCCGUCAAACAUUUUAAUAAACUGUUUUUAGCUCAUUUGUCUCCUGAGUUUCUCUGCAUGAAGGUCAGGUUGUUGCAAAAAUCAUGACAUCAGCAAUUACUUUGCACCACUCUGUUAAACAGCUGAUAUUAAU